Molecule: ribosomal RNA, 557 nt
Filed under: uncultured bacterium
Lineage: Bacteria
Description: bacterial SSU rRNA
Rfam family: Bacterial small subunit ribosomal RNA
Source: RNAcentral
AAUAGAUACCCAGGUAGUCCACGCCGUAAACGAUGAUGGCUGGAUGUUGGCGAUACACCGUCAGCGUCUGAGGGAAACCAUUAAGCCAUCCACCUGGGGAGUACGGCCGCAAGGCUGAAACUCAAAGGAAUUGACGGGGGCCCGCACAAGCGGAGGAACAUGUGGUUUAAUUCGAUGAUACGCGAGGAACCUUACCCGGGCUAGAACGCACUCGGAAUGUACGGGAAACCGUACAGCCCUUCGGGGCCGGUGCGAGGUGCUGCAUGGUUGUCGUCAGCUCGUGCCGUGAGGUGUCGGGUUAAGUCCCAUAACGAGCGCAACCCCUACCGCCAGUUGCCAGCGGGCAAUGCCGGGGACUCUGGCGGAACUGCCGGCGUAAGCCGCGAGGAAGGCGGGGAUGACGUCAAAUCAGCACGGCCCUUACGUCCGGGGCUACACACGUGUUACAAUGGCCGGUACAGAAGGCAGCCACCCCGGCGAGGGGGCGCUAAUCUCGAAAGCCGGUCCCAGUUCGGAUCGGAGUCUGCAACCCGAUCCGUGAAGUUGGAUUCGCUAGU